CAGGCUUCUGGGCUUUCUGUGUUCGCCACAUUAACACCCCAACAAAGGGCUGUGGCAUCAUCGCUAAGGCAGGAAAUGAGGGGACCCAAGUGAGAUGGAUAUCACAAGUGAGACAGAGUCGACAAACAGCAGGAGCCGCCUGCCUGGCAGCAGUGAGCCUGUUAAUACCGUCGUCGCUCUAACUGGAGAGAAUCCAUGCUCCAGACUUUUCAUAGAGUAUUCAGACCACAAACAGAGGAAUCCCUCCAACUGCCCGUAUCUUAAACCCUCCCUUAAAGGACCUUCACACUGAGCUUCUCGAAAAUAACCUCAAGUCUGGAUUGUAUGCUCUCACUGAGCUCAGUUUCGACAUAAAAACCGCAGCUUUCACCUUAAAGGGAAUAAAAGAUAGCUUAUUCUGGAGCCGUUUUGAGUGACCAAUG
Meriones unguiculatus (Mongolian gerbil) is the source of this 422-nucleotide long non-coding RNA. RefSeq lists it as uncharacterized. The record is from RefSeq and is a predicted model, not a curated record. NCBI's taxonomy places the organism in Eukaryota, Metazoa, Chordata, Mammalia, Rodentia, Muridae. The transcript has 3 exons.